GCAGGGCGGCCUGCUAUACAUGCAGUCGAGCGAAUGAAGAGGAGCUUGCUCCUCUGAUUUAGCGGCGGACGGGAGAGUAACACGUGGGUAAUCUGCCUGUAAGACGGGGAUAACUCCGGGAAACCGGGGCUAAUACCGGAUAAUAAGAGAAGAAGCAUUUCUUCUUUUUGAAAGUCGGCCUCUCGCUGACACUUACAGAUGAGCCCGCGGCGCAUUAGCUAGUUGGUGAGGUAACGGCUCACCAAGGCGACGAUGCGUAGCCGACCUGAGAGGGUGAUCGGCCACACUGGGACUGAGACACGGCCCAGACUCCUACGGGAGGCAGCAGUAGGGAAUCUUCGGCAAUGGGCGAAAGCCUGACCGAGCAACGCCGCGUGAGCGAUGAAGGCCUUCGGGUCGUAAAGCUCUGUUGUUAGAGAAGAACAAGUACGAGAGUAACUGCUCGUACCUUGACGGUACCUAACCAGAAAGCCACGGCUAACUACGUGCCAGCAGCCGCGGUAAUACGUAGGUGGCAAGCGUUAUCCGGAAUUAUUGGGCGUAAAGCGCGCGCAGGCGGUCUCUUAAGUCUGAUGUGAAAGCCCACGGCUCAACCGUGGAGGGUCAUUGGAAACUGGGAGACUUGAGUGCAGGAGAGAAAAAGUGGAAUUCCACGUGUAGCGGUGAAAUGCGUAAAGAUGUGGAGGAACACCAAUGGCGAAGGCGGGUUUUUUGGCCUG
Molecule: ribosomal RNA, 719 nt
Filed under: Bacillus licheniformis
Lineage: Bacteria; Bacillati; Bacillota; Bacilli; Caryophanales; Bacillaceae
Description: bacterial SSU rRNA
Rfam family: Bacterial small subunit ribosomal RNA
Source: RNAcentral